Molecule: transfer RNA, 75 nt
Filed under: Mycoplasmopsis gallinacea
Lineage: Bacteria; Bacillati; Mycoplasmatota; Mycoplasmoidales; Metamycoplasmataceae
Description: Mycoplasma gallinaceum tRNA-Thr(cgt)
Rfam family: tRNA
About the family: Transfer RNA (tRNA) molecules are approximately 80 nucleotides in length.
Source: RNAcentral
GCUGUUAUAGUUUAAUUGGCAAAACGUUUGACUCGUAAUCAAAAAUUGCAAGUUCGAUUCUUGUUAGCAGCACCA